CACACACACACACACCUCCAGGCAAGCAAGAGGCAUUAUAGACCAGGUAGAUGAGCUUAGAUUAACCCCCCAGGUAUGAGAUCCUACACCUUUCAUUUAGGUGAUGAACUGAAUUGGGCCAAGAAGUGGAGCAAUGCCUUGUGGAAUCCCAGGAACUAAAUGACUUGAUGAGCAGAAUUUCUAGCAACUUGAGUUUUCAGGCAUAGCUCCUUGGUCUUCCUCAUAACCAGCAAAAUAACAAUGCAACAUAA
This is a long non-coding RNA of Lacerta agilis (Sand lizard), 251 nucleotides long. RefSeq lists it as uncharacterized. The record is from RefSeq and is a predicted model, not a curated record. The transcript is spliced from 2 exons. NCBI's taxonomy places the organism in Eukaryota, Metazoa, Chordata, Lepidosauria, Squamata, Lacertidae.